UCCUCCCUCUUUCUUCGUGCUUAACACAUGCAAGUCGAACGGAAAGGCCCUGCUUUUGUGGGGUGCUCGAGUGGCGAACGGGUGAGUAACACGUGAGUAACCUGCCCUUGACUUUGGGAUAACUUCAGGAAACUGGGGCUAAUACCGGAUAGGAGCUCCUGCUGCAUGGUGGGGGUUGGAAAGUUUCGGCGGUUGGGGAUGGACUCGCGGCUUAUCAGCUUGUUGGUGGGGUAGUGGCUUACCAAGGCUUUGAAGGGUAGCCGGCCUGAGAGGGUGACCGGCCACAUUGGGACUGAGAUACGGCCCAGACUCCUACGUGAGGCAGCAGUGGGGAAUAUUGCACAAUGGGCGGAAGCCUGAUGCAGCAACGCCGCGUGCGGGAUGACGGCCUUCGGGUUGUAAACCGCUUUCGCCUGUGACGAAGCGUGAGUGACGGUAAUGAGUAAAGAAGCACCGGCUAACUACGUG
RNAcentral lists this ribosomal RNA (468 nucleotides) under uncultured bacterium. Its description in RNAcentral is "partial 16S ribosomal RNA". It matches the Rfam family "Bacterial small subunit ribosomal RNA", at positions 36 to 507 of the family's 1533-position model. The record is from RNAcentral.